This is a long non-coding RNA of Gallus gallus (chicken), 831 nucleotides long. Lineage: Eukaryota; Metazoa; Chordata; Aves; Galliformes; Phasianidae. The record is from Ensembl.
GUCAGAAUACCAUCCAAGGUGUAAUUUACUCUGAGGUCAAUUGGAAGUGAGGUCACGCAGCAGUUGCAAAUCUGCUUCCUAGUUCUCACGACCUGUGUGCCAAACAAUUGUCAUUAAUAAGAUUAAAUUGGCAUAGGAAAAAAUAUGGAUGCACUUAUAGGGAGACUUGUAAAGCUGUAAGAGUCUUUAAGAGCUGGCUUGCACAGUAGUUAGUGCCUGGAUACUUUUUAGCUCCUGGUUAAUUCUGCUCAGUUGCUCUAAUCAGAACAGUCGUUUAUCAGUUUUUCCAACUUGUGUUGAAAUUUCAGAAGGAUACUGUCCAACAGAGGAUGGCAAAGUUUAUUUCUUCAGAGUUGUGUGGUUCAAAGAAAACACGAAUAUUUUUCAGUUUGGAUGUAGGAACCAUGCAGUCCUGGGGAAGGCAAGUCCAUGGAAGAAAGCAACAGUGUUUGACAAUGGAUACCAAAUGCUUGCAAAACUACACUUCGUAGGAGGAACAGCUCUUUUCCUUAGCUGAAGUCUCUGCAAACAUUUUACCCAACUAUGAACCCUAAGGAAUAGCAUGAUGACUAUUAUAAUGCAACAGACAAUUUUAGCUAGAGCUUGGAAACCAGUGUCUUCAAGUGUUUCAAGAAGAAGUUACAAGAUUGGUUGAAGUCUAUAAUGGAAAGUAAAAUGCUCUAAAUAAACAUAAUAAAACUAUACCCUUCAAGAAUUUUUGGUACUUCCAAUUUGUUGUUACAAUUUACACUAAUGCAAUGGAAUGCACUUUUCAUAUUUACUUUGAUGAAGAAUUUCCUGGCAAAAUGUUAAAGUUUGUUCAUAGUGGAG